This 670-nucleotide ribosomal RNA is filed under the name Paracoccus sp. (in: a-proteobacteria). Its description in RNAcentral is "bacterial SSU rRNA". It matches the Rfam family "Bacterial small subunit ribosomal RNA", at positions 20 to 736 of the family's 1533-position model. Lineage: Bacteria; Pseudomonadati; Pseudomonadota; Alphaproteobacteria; Rhodobacterales; Paracoccaceae. The record is from RNAcentral.
UGGCUCAGAACGAACGCUGGCGGCAGGCCUAACACAUGCAAGUCGAGCGCACCCUUCGGGGUGAGCGGCGGACGGGUGAGUAACGCGUGGGAAUAUGCCCUUUGGUACGGAAUAGUCCUGGGAAACUGGGGGUAAUACCGUAUGCGCCCUUCGGGGGAAAGAUUUAUCGCCAAAGGAUUAGCCCGCGUUGGAUUAGGUAGUUGGUGGGGUAAUGGCCUACCAAGCCGACGAUCCAUAGCUGGUUUGAGAGGAUGAUCAGCCACACUGGGACUGAGACACGGCCCAGACUCCUACGGGAGGCAGCAGUGGGGAAUCUUAGACAAUGGGGGCAACCCUGAUCUAGCCAUGCCGCGUGAGUGAUGAAGGCCCUAGGGUUGUAAAGCUCUUUCAGCUGGGAAGAUAAUGACGGUACCAGCAGAAGAAGCCCCGGCUAACUCCGUGCCAGCAGCCGCGGUAAUACGGAGGGGGCUAGCGUUGUUCGGAAUUACUGGGCGUAAAGCGCACGUAGGCGGACCGGAAAGUUGGGGGUGAAAUCCCGGGGCUCAACCCCGGAACUGCCUUCAAAACUAUCGGUCUGGAGUUCGAGAGAGGUGAGUGGAAUUCCGAGUGUAGAGGUGAAAUUCGUAGAUAUUCGGAGGAACACCAGUGGCGAAGGCGGCUCACUGGCUCG